GCGGGUUUAGCUUAAGAUUCAGAGUGUCGCGAUUCCAUCGCGGAGGUGAUUGUUCAAGUCAGUCAACCCGCUCCA
RNAcentral lists this transfer RNA (75 nucleotides) under Deltaproteobacteria bacterium. RNAcentral's name for it is "tRNA-Gly". It matches the Rfam family "tRNA". From Rfam's summary of the family: Transfer RNA (tRNA) molecules are approximately 80 nucleotides in length. Their secondary structure includes four short double-helical elements and three loops (D, anti-codon, and T loops). Further hydrogen bonds mediate the characteristic L-shaped molecular structure. tRNAs have two regions of fundamental functional importance: the anti-codon, which is responsible for specific mRNA codon recognition, and the 3' end, to which the tRNAs corresponding amino acid is attached (by aminoacyl-tRNA synthetases). tRNAs cope with the degeneracy of the genetic code in two manners: having more than one tRNA (with a specific anti-codon) for a particular amino acid; and 'wobble' base-pairing, i.e. permitting non-standard base-pairing at the 3rd anti-codon position. The record is from RNAcentral. Lineage: Bacteria; Pseudomonadati; Myxococcota; Myxococcia.